Molecule: long non-coding RNA, 157 nt
Organism: Carcharodon carcharias (great white shark)
Lineage: Eukaryota; Metazoa; Chordata; Chondrichthyes; Lamniformes; Lamnidae
Exons: 3
Source: RefSeq, a predicted model, not a curated record
UUCAGAUUUUAUGACUGUAACUGGCAACCCGAGCGAUGUUACGAUUCUUCCUGACCCUGAUUCUACUGCACCUUUUGAACUGUAGACCUGGGGACAGUCAGGCUCCCCCAUCAGAGACGGUGAUGCUCAAAUUGGAGAGUGGGAGCAGUCCAUGCGC